UUAGGGACGGAGAAGGCUAGGCCAGCUUGGCGUUGGUUGUCCAAGUUUAAGGUGGUAGGCUGAAAUCUUAGGUAAAUCCGGGGUUUCAAGGCCGAGAGCUGAUGACGAGUCGUCUUUUAGAUGACGAAGUGGUUGAUGCCAUGCUUCCAAGAAAAGCUUCUAAGCUUCAGGUAACCAGGAACCGUACCCCAAACCGACACAGGUGGUCGGGUAGAGAAUACCAAGGCGCUUGAGAAAACUCGGGUGAAGGAACUAGGCAAAAUGGCACCGUAACUUCGGGAGAAGGUGCGCCGGCUAGGGUGAAGGAUUUACUCCGUAAGCUCUGGCUGGUCGAAGAUACCAGGCCGCUGCGACUGUUUAUUAAAAACACAGCACUCGGCAAACACGAAAGUGGACGUAUAGGGUGUGACGCCUGCCCGGUGCCGGAAGGUUAAUUGAUGGGGUUAGCGCAAGCGAAGCUCUUGAUCGAAGCCCCGGUAAACGGCGGCCGUAACUAUAACGGUCCUAAGGUAGCGAAAUUCCUUGUCGGGUAAGUUCCGACCUGCACGAAUGGCGUAACGAUGGCGGCGCUGUCUCCACCCGAGACUCAGUGAAAUUGAAAUCGCUGUGAAGAUGCAGUGUAUCCGCGGCUAGACGGAAAGACCCCGUGAACCUUUACUGUAGCUUUGCACUGGACUUUGAGCCUGCUUGUGUAGGAUAGGUGGGAGGCUUUGAAGCGUGGACGCCAGUUCGCGUGGAGCCAUCCUUGAAAUACCACCCUGGCAUGCUUGAGGUUCUAACUCUGGUCCGUAAUCCGGAUCGAGGACAGUGUAUGGUGGGCAGUUUGACUGGGGCGGUCUCCUCCUAAAGAGUAACGGAGGAGUACGAAGGUGCGCUCAGACCGGUCGGAAAUCGGUCGCAGAGUAUAAAGGCAAAAGCGCGCUUGACUGCGAGACAGACACGUCGAGCAGGUACGAAAGUAGGUCUUAGUGAUCCGGUGGUUCUGUAUGGAAGGGCCAUCGCUCAACGGAUAAAAGGUACUCCGGGGAUAACAGGCUGAUACCGCCCAAGAGUUCAUAUCGACGGCGGUGUUUGGCACCUCGAUGUCGGCUCAUCACAUCCUGGGGCUGAAGCCGGUCCCAAGGGUAUGGCUGUUCGCCAUUUAAAGUGGUACGCGAGCUGGGUUUAGAACGUCGUGAGACAGUUCGGUCCCUAUCUGCCGUGGACGUUUGAGAUUUGAGAGGGGCUGCUCCUAGUACGAGAGGACCGGAGUGGACGAACCUCUGGUGUUCCGGUUGUCACGCCAGUGGCAUUGCCGGGUAGCUAUGUUCGGAAAAGAUAACCGCUGAAAGCAUCUAAGCGGGAAACUUGCCUCAAGAUGAGAUCUCACUGGGAACUUGAUUCCCCUGAAGGGCCGUCGAAGACUACGACGUUGAUAGGCUGGGUGUGUAAGCGUUGUGAGGCGUUGAGCUAACCAGUACUAAUUGCCC
Molecule: ribosomal RNA, 1469 nt
Filed under: metagenome
Description: bacterial LSU rRNA
Rfam family: Bacterial large subunit ribosomal RNA
Source: RNAcentral